AAACAACUCUCGACAACGGAUAUCCCGGCUCUCGCAUCGAUGAAGAACGUAGCGAAAUGCGAUACUUGGUGUGAAUUGCAGAAUCCCGUGAACCAUCGAGUCUUUGAACGCAAGUUGCGCCCGAAGCCAUUAGGCUGAGGGCACGUCUGCCUGGGUGUCACGC
This 163-nucleotide ribosomal RNA is filed under the name Chaerophyllopsis huai. RNAcentral describes it as "5.8S ribosomal RNA". It matches the Rfam family "5.8S ribosomal RNA". Rfam says of the family: 5.8S ribosomal RNA (5.8S rRNA) is a component of the large subunit of the eukaryotic ribosome. It is transcribed by RNA polymerase I as part of the 45S precursor that also contains 18S and 28S rRNA. The record is from RNAcentral. Lineage: Eukaryota; Viridiplantae; Streptophyta; Magnoliopsida; Apiales; Apiaceae.